GGCACCGCUACCAUGCAAGUCGAACGGUGAAGCCCAGCUUGCUGGGUGGAUCAGUGGCGAACGGGUGAGUAACACGUGAGCAACCUGCCCUCCACUUCGGGAUAAGCCUUGGAAACGGGGUCUAAUACCGGAUAUGAGCAUCCAUCGCAUGGUGGGUGUUGGAAAGUUUUUCGGUGGGGGAUGGGCUCGCGGCCUAUCAGCUUGUUGGUGGGGUGAUGGCCUACCAAGGCGUCGACGGGUAGCCGGCCUGAGAGGGCGACCGGCCACACUGGGACUGAGACACGGCCCAGACUCCUACGGGAGGCAGCAGUGGGGAAUAUUGCACAAUGGGCGCAAGCCUGAUGCAGCGACGCCGCGUGAGGGAUGACGGCCUUCGGGUUGUAAACCUCUUUCAGCAGGGAAGAAGCGCAAGUGACGGUACCUGCAGAAGAAGCGCCGGCUAACUACGUGCCAGCAGCCGCGGUAAUACGUAGGGCGCAAGCGUUGUCCGGAAUUAUUGGGCGUAAAGAGCUCGUAGGCGGUCUGUCGCGUCUGGUGUGAAAUCCCGAGGCUCAACCUCGGGCUUGCAUCGGGUACGGGCAGACUAGAGUGCGGUAGGGGAGACUGGAAUUCCUGGUGUAGCGGUGGAAUGCGCAGAUAUCAGGAGGAACACCGAUGGCGAAGGCAGGUCUCUGGGCCGCAACUGACGCUGAGGAGCGAAAGCAUGGGGAGCGAACAGGAUUAGAUACCCUGGUAGUCCAUGCCGUAAACGUUGGGCACUAGGUGUGGGGCUCAUUCCACGAGUUCCGUGCCGCAGCUAACGCAUUAAGUGCCCCGCCUGGGGAGUACGGCCGCAAGGCUAAAACUCAAAGGAAUUGACGGGGGCCCGCACAAGCGGGGGAGCAUGCGGAUUAAUUCGAUGCAACGCGAAAAACCUUACCCAGGCUUGACAUGCACCGGGAAACACUCAGAAAUGGGUGCCCCGUAAGGUCGG
RNAcentral lists this ribosomal RNA (973 nucleotides) under Isoptericola sp. RNAcentral describes it as "bacterial SSU rRNA". It matches the Rfam family "Bacterial small subunit ribosomal RNA", at positions 41 to 1030 of the family's 1533-position model. Lineage: Bacteria; Bacillati; Actinomycetota; Actinomycetes; Micrococcales; Promicromonosporaceae. The record is from RNAcentral.